CCUACGGGGGGCAGCAGUGGGGAAUCUUGCGCAAUGGGCGAAAGGCUGACGCAGCGACGCCGCGUGGAGGAUGACGCCCUUCGGGGUGUAAACUCCUGUUGCCCGGGACGAAUGCCUGUUUCGACAGGAGUGACGGUACCGGGUGAGGAAGCACCGGCUAACUCUGUGCCAGCAGCCGCGGUAAUACAGAGGGUGCGAGCGUUGUCCGGAAUCACUGGGCGUAAAGGGCGCGUAGGCGGUCGGGUAAGCGUGUGGUGAAAGUCCGGGGCUCAACCCCGGAUCGGCCAUGCGAACUGUCCGACUGGAGCACGGUAGAGGCACAUGGAAUUCCGGGUGUAGCGGUGGAAUGCGUAGAGAUCCGGAAGAACACCGGUGGCGAAGGCGGUGUGCUGGGCCGUAGCUGACGCUGAGGCGCGACAGCGUGGGGAGCAAACAGGCUUAGAUACCCGGGUAGUC
RNAcentral lists this ribosomal RNA (456 nucleotides) under uncultured Gemmatimonas sp. RNAcentral describes it as "bacterial SSU rRNA". It matches the Rfam family "Bacterial small subunit ribosomal RNA", at positions 338 to 795 of the family's 1533-position model. The record is from RNAcentral. Lineage: Bacteria; Pseudomonadati; Gemmatimonadota; Gemmatimonadia; Gemmatimonadales; Gemmatimonadaceae.